This is a long non-coding RNA of Salvelinus sp. IW2-2015, 934 nucleotides long. RefSeq lists it as uncharacterized. The transcript is spliced from 6 exons. NCBI's taxonomy places the organism in Eukaryota, Metazoa, Chordata, Actinopteri, Salmoniformes, Salmonidae. The record is from RefSeq and is a predicted model, not a curated record.
AGAUGGUUCUGUCUGUGCACAGGGAUGGAACAGUCAUCCCUACCAACCUGGAGGAAGUCCUGCAGACCAAGAGCUUCUUGGGCUUCCCCAGCAUCCUAGGGAUCAACAACCUUUUUCCUGUUUCCUGGCUGGGAUCUUGGAAUGACCCAUGAAAACAUGAUGAUUAUGAUCCUGGUGUUUAUGCUUCAAAAACUGCAUCAGCCAGACUCUGCCCUGGGGAUCAUCGUAGAGGAGACAUGGUGACAUGAAUGACCCCGUGGGGAACAGGGAUGCCUCUACUGAUUGUGGUCCCAGGGGGUGUAGAGAUACAUUACACACGUGUCUAUGCAAGAUUCUGGUUGCUUGAUCUACUAUGAGUUCCAGCAGCAUCCCUCCAUGGUCACAUCAGCAGACCAGGCUUUGUGAAAGCAGACCACUGAGAUAACACGACAGAGGAGGAACGACAGCUUAGCAGCACCAUGAUGAAAUACUGGACUAACUUUGCCAGAACAGGUAACCCUAAUGGAGAGUGUGUGUUUGAUUGGCUGACAUUCACUACAGAUCCAGGCCAACCUCGGGCUGGGCAGUGUCUCAGAAAAGAAGAGAGCCCAGUUCUAGAGAGAAGACUUCCCCAAAGGACUGCAGACUGCUGGACACAAAGACGCACAGAGUGACCUGUAGAACUGAAUGUUCACUAUGUCAAAAUGUUGUUCUAGGAGUGUCCAUGUUGUUGCCCUCCACUCCAGUGAUGCCAAGCAGUUUGCAAUUAGGUUACAGUAUAUGAGGCUUUCUUUGCCUUUUCCUUAUUUUGUGUCAUAUUUUGGCUAUUUUAAUAUUCCAGAUUUUCUUUCAUGGUUUGGUCUUUUUUUAAAUAUUUUAUUUAGCAAUUUUUUACCAUUUAUGUAGUUUAUUUUUAUCUUGCUGUGUUCAUAUGUCCAUUAAAGCCAUAAAAUAA